This 755-nucleotide ribosomal RNA is filed under the name Pseudoalteromonas arabiensis. RNAcentral's name for it is "bacterial SSU rRNA". It matches the Rfam family "Bacterial small subunit ribosomal RNA", at positions 70 to 817 of the family's 1533-position model. Lineage: Bacteria; Pseudomonadati; Pseudomonadota; Gammaproteobacteria; Alteromonadales; Pseudoalteromonadaceae. The record is from RNAcentral.
GAAGAGGAGCUUGCUCCUUUGGCGUCGAGCGGCGGACGGGUGAGUAAUGCUUGGGAAUGUGCCUUAUGGUGGGGGACAACAGUUGGAAACGACUGCUAAUACCGCAUAAUGUCUUCGGACCAAAGUGGGGGACCUUCGGGCCUCACGCCAUAAGAUCAGCCCAAGUGGGAUUAGCUAGUUGGUAAGGUAAUGGCUUACCAAGGCGACGAUCCCUAGCUGGUUUGAGAGGAUGAUCAGCCACACUGGGACUGAGACACGGCCCAGACUCCUACGGGAGGCAGCAGUGGGGAAUAUUGCACAAUGGGCGCAAGCCUGAUGCAGCCAUGCCGCGUGUGUGAAGAAGGCCUUCGGGUUGUAAAGCACUUUCAGUAAGGAGGAAAGGUUAAGUGUUAAUAGCACUUAGCUGUGACGUUACUUACAGAAGAAGCACCGGCUAACUCCGUGCCAGCAGCCGCGGUAAUACGGAGGGUGCGAGCGUUAAUCGGAAUUACUGGGCGUAAAGCGUACGCAGGCGGUUUGUUAAGCGAGAUGUGAAAGCCCUGGGCUCAACCUGGGAACUGCAUUUCGAACUGGCAAACUAGAGUGUGAUAGAGGGUGGUAGAAUUUCAGGUGUAGCGGUGAAAUGCGUAGAGAUCUGAAGGAAUACCGAUGGCGAAGGCAGCCACCUGGGUCAACACUGACGCUCAUGUACGAAAGCGUGGGGGAGCAAACAGGAUUAGAUACCCUGGUAGUCCACGCCGUAAACGAUGUCUACU